GAUGAACGCUGGCGGCGUGCUUAACACAUGCAAGUCGAACGGAAAGGCUCCUGCUUGCCGGGGUACUCGAGUGGCGAACGGGUGAGUAACACGUGGGUGAUCUGCCCUGCACUUCGGGAUAAGCCUGGGAAACUGGGUCUAAUACCGGAUAGGACCACAUUUUGGAUGGUGUGGUGGAAAGUUUUUCGGUGUGGGAUGAGCUCGCGGCCUAUCAGCUUGUUGGUGGGGUAAUGGCCUACCAAGGCGUCGACGGGUAGCCGGCCUGAGAGGGUGUACGGCCACAUUGGGACUGAGAUACGGCCCAGACUCCUACGGGAGGCAGCAGGGGGGAAUAUUGCACAAUGGGCGCAAGCCUGAUGCAGCGACGCCGCGUGGGGGAUGACGGCCUUCGGGGUGUAAACUCCUUUCGCUAGGGACGAAGCGUUUUUGUGACGGUACCUGGAGAAGAAGCACCGGCUAACUACGUG
This 467-nucleotide ribosomal RNA is filed under the name uncultured bacterium. RNAcentral describes it as "partial 16S ribosomal RNA". It matches the Rfam family "Bacterial small subunit ribosomal RNA", at positions 28 to 507 of the family's 1533-position model. The record is from RNAcentral.